RNAcentral lists this transfer RNA (73 nucleotides) under Stegodyphus mimosarum. It matches the Rfam family "tRNA". From Rfam's summary of the family: Transfer RNA (tRNA) molecules are approximately 80 nucleotides in length. Their secondary structure includes four short double-helical elements and three loops (D, anti-codon, and T loops). Lineage: Eukaryota; Metazoa; Arthropoda; Arachnida; Araneae; Eresidae. The record is from Rfam by way of RNAcentral.
GCCUUCGUGGUGCAGUAGUCAGCACGCUGGGCGUGUAUUCCAGAGGUUCAUGGUUAGAGUCCCGUCGAAGUCA